AGUGAACGCUGGCGGUAGGCCUAACACAUGCAAGUCGAACGGCAGCACAGUAAGAGCUUGCUCUUACGGGUGGCGAGUGGCGGACGGGUGAGGAAUACAUCGGAAUCUACUUUUUCGUGGGGGAUAACGUAGGGAAACUUACGCUAAUACCGCAUACGACCUACGGGUGAAAGCAGGGGAUCUUCGGACCUUGCGCGAUUGAAUGAGCCGAUGUCGGAUUAGCUAGUUGGCGGGGUAAAGGCCCACCAAGGCGACGAUCCGUAGCUGGUCUGAGAGGAUGAUUAGCCACACUGGAACUAAGACACGGUCCAGACUCCUACGGGAGGCAGCAGUGGGGAAUAUUGGACAAUGGGCGCAAGCCUGAUCCAGCCAUACCGCGUGGGUGAAGAAGGCCUUCGGGUUGUAAAGCCCUUUUGUUGGGAAAGAAAAGCAGCAGGUUAAUACCCCGCUGUUCUGACGGUACCCAAAGAAUAAGCACCGGCUAACUUCGUG
RNAcentral lists this ribosomal RNA (492 nucleotides) under uncultured bacterium. RNAcentral describes it as "partial 16S ribosomal RNA". It matches the Rfam family "Bacterial small subunit ribosomal RNA", at positions 29 to 507 of the family's 1533-position model. The record is from RNAcentral.